GAUGGACGCUGGCGGCGUGCCUAAUACAUGCAAGUCGAGCGAACAGACGAGGAGCUUGCUCCUCUGACGUUAGCGGCGGACGGGUGAGUAACACGUGGAUAACCUACCUAUAAGACUGGGAUAACUUCGGGAAACCGGAGCUAAUACCGGAUAACAUGUUGAACCGCAUGGUUCAACAGUGAAAGACGGUCUUGCUGUCACUUAUAGAUGGAUCCGCGCCGCAUUAGCUAGUUGGUAAGGUAACGGCUUACCAAGGCAACGAUGCGUAGCCGACCUGAGAGGGUGAUCGGCCACACUGGAACUGAGACACGGUCCAGACUCCUACGGGAGGCAGCAGUAGGGAAUAUUCGGCAAUGGGCGAAAGCCUGACGGAGCAACGCCGCGUGAGUGAAGAAGGUCUUCGGAUCGUAAAACUCUGUUAUUAGGGAAGAACAAAUGUGUAAGUAACUAUGCACGUCUUGACGGUACCUAAUCAGAAAGCCACGGCUAACUACGUG
This 497-nucleotide ribosomal RNA is filed under the name uncultured bacterium. RNAcentral describes it as "partial 16S ribosomal RNA". It matches the Rfam family "Bacterial small subunit ribosomal RNA", at positions 28 to 507 of the family's 1533-position model. The record is from RNAcentral.